This 497-nucleotide ribosomal RNA is filed under the name uncultured bacterium. RNAcentral describes it as "partial 16S ribosomal RNA". It matches the Rfam family "Bacterial small subunit ribosomal RNA", at positions 28 to 507 of the family's 1533-position model. The record is from RNAcentral.
GAUGAACGCUGGCGGCGUGCCUAAUACAUGCAAGUCGAGCGAACAGACGAGGAGCUUGCUCCUCUGACGUUAGCGGCGGACGGGUGAGUAACACGUGGAUAACCUACCUAUAAGACUGGGAUAACUUCGGGAAACCGGAGCUAAUACCGGAUAAUAUAUUGAACCGCAUGGUUCAAUAGUGAAAGACGGUUUUGCUGUCACUUAUAGAUGGAUCCGCGCCGCAUUAGCUAGUUGGUAAGGUAAAGGCUUACCAAGGGAACGAUGCGUAGCCGACCUGAGAGGGUGAUCGGCCACACUGGAACUGAGACACGGUCCAGACUCCUACGGGAGGCAGCAGUAGGGAAUCUUCCGCAAUGGGCGAAAGCCUGACGGAGCAACGCCGCGUGAGUGAUGAAGGUCUUCGGAUCGUAAAACUCUGUUAUUAGGGAAGAACAAAUGUGUAAGUAACUAUGCACGUCUUGACGGUACCUAAUCAGAAAGCCACGGCUAACUACGUG